GGAGCUGUGGCUCAAUGGAAGAACUUCUGCUUGGCAUGCCGAAGGCCCCAGGUUCAAUCCCCGGCAUCUCCU
Molecule: transfer RNA, 72 nt
Filed under: Sphaerodactylus townsendi
Lineage: Eukaryota; Metazoa; Chordata; Lepidosauria; Squamata; Sphaerodactylidae
Description: tRNA-Ala
Rfam family: tRNA
About the family: Transfer RNA (tRNA) molecules are approximately 80 nucleotides in length.
Source: RNAcentral